RNAcentral lists this ribosomal RNA (651 nucleotides) under uncultured Bacteroidales bacterium. RNAcentral's name for it is "bacterial SSU rRNA". It matches the Rfam family "Bacterial small subunit ribosomal RNA", at positions 89 to 738 of the family's 1533-position model. The record is from RNAcentral. Lineage: Bacteria; Pseudomonadati; Bacteroidota; Bacteroidia; Bacteroidales.
UGGCGACCGGCGCACGGGUGAGUAACACGUAUCCAACCUGCCGUCUACUCUUGGACAGCCUUCUGAAAGGAAGAUUAAUACAAGAUGGCAUCAUGAGUCCGCAUGUUCACAUGAUUAAAGGUAUUCCGGUAGACGAUGGGGAUGCGUUCCAUUAGAUAGUAGGCGGGGUAACGGCCCACCUAGUCUUCGAUGGAUAGGGGUUCUGAGAGGAAGGUCCCCCACAUUGGAACUGAGACACGGUCCAAACUCCUACGGGAGGCAGCAGUGAGGAAUAUUGGUCAAUGGGCGAGAGCCUGAACCAGCCAAGUAGCGUGAAGGAUGACUGCCCUAUGGGUUGUAAACUUCUUUUAUAAAGGAAUAAAGUCGGGUAUGCAUACCCGUUUGCAUGUACUUUAUGAAUAAGGAUCGGCUAACUCCGUGCCAGCAGCCGCGGUAAUACGGAGGAUCCGAGCGUUAUCCGGAUUUAUUGGGUUUAAAGGGAGCGUAGAUGGAUGUUUAAGUCAGUUGUGAAAGUUUGCGGCUCAACCGUAAAAUUGCAGUUGAUACUGGAUAUCUUGAGUGCAGUUGAGGCAGGCGGAAUUCGUGGUGUAGCGGUGAAAUGCUUAGAUAUCACGAAGAACUCCGAUUGCGAAGGCAGCCUGCUAAGCUGCA